Molecule: transfer RNA, 90 nt
Filed under: Phascolarctobacterium sp.
Lineage: Bacteria; Bacillati; Bacillota; Negativicutes; Acidaminococcales; Acidaminococcaceae
Description: tRNA-Ser
Rfam family: tRNA
About the family: Transfer RNA (tRNA) molecules are approximately 80 nucleotides in length. Their secondary structure includes four short double-helical elements and three loops (D, anti-codon, and T loops).
Source: RNAcentral
GGAGUGGUACCCAAGCUGGCUGAAGGGGACGGUUUGCUAAAUCGUUAGUCGAGUGAUCGAGCGUGGGUUCGAAUCCCACCCACUCCGCCA